UACGUAGGGUUCAAGCGUUGUCCGGAAUUAUUGGGCGUAAAGAGCUCGUAGGCGGUCUGUCGCGUCGGCUGUGAAAUCCCGAGGCUCAACCUCGGGUCUGCAGUCGAUACGGGCAAACUAGAGUAUUGCAGGGGAGACUGGAAUUCCUGGUGUAGCGGUGAAAUGCGCAGAUAUCAGGAGGAACACCGGUGGCGAAGGCGGGUCUCUGGGCAACAACUGACGCUGAGGAGCGAAAGCGUGGGGAGCGAACAGG
This 253-nucleotide ribosomal RNA is filed under the name uncultured bacterium. RNAcentral describes it as "partial 16S ribosomal RNA". It matches the Rfam family "Bacterial small subunit ribosomal RNA", at positions 524 to 776 of the family's 1533-position model. The record is from RNAcentral.